GGCAUAUGAAGGCUCCCAAGCUAAGGGGUCAAUAUGGAGCUGUAGCUGCUGGUCUAUGUCACAGCCAUAGCAACGCGGGAUCUAAGCCGUGUCUUCGACCUACACCACAGUUCACGGCAACACCAGAUCCUUAAAUCACUGAGCAAGGCCAGGGAUCGAACCCAAAAACUCAUGGUUACUAGUCGGGUUCACUAACCACUGAGCAACAACAGGAACUCCAGUUUUAAAUUUUUAAUAGAAGACUUUAUAAACAAAGUUCAAUCAUAUAGACACCAUGUCACAGGGACCAUCACACAAAUUCUGGGUGAGCUUCAGUUCUUGCAAUCAAAUGCUCCACUUGGUAAAACAUCUCCCUAACCCAUCUCAUAAACAACACUAAGAUUGUCACAUGCCUGUAAUUAAAUUGUUCUGAUGAAACAUACAGCUCUCAGGUUACAACUGCUUCCCCUGCAAUAAUAAUUUCUAAACCCUCUUCAUUUAAAUGUUUAAAAUAUUCAAUUCAUCACUUCAAAUGAGGGCUCUAUAUAAUAAAAAGAUGAGUGUCAGAAAUAAUUCUGAAGGAUGAACACACAAAGCAACAAAAAGUGUUUUUUAAAAAACGACUGAUGUCCUUAAUUAGCAUUUUGCUCAAUCUAUUCAAUGCAAUUUAAAUAUAAGAUCACACAAUACAAAUAUUAACUCCUCCAGAAAGCUUCACUGCAAUUUUAUUUAUUUAUGUAUUUAGUGCUUAAUAUAGGCAGUCCCUUUAUACACAUUGCUAUCAAAUCCUCCCAACAACACUAUCAGGUAGGCACCAAUAUUAUCCCCCAUUUCAUAGACCAGGUGGGGAGGUUUAGAAAGACACUUCAUUUGGUGAAGUUAAGCCUGACGUAAGUGGUAGGGCUAGGUGUUGAACCCAUUAAGUCCAUACACUUAAUAACUAUCCUAGGGCAAUGAAUAUAUGAAUGAAUGCUUCAUCCACAGAGCAUUUAUGAGGUGUCUUCCAAACUUUUCUCAGAUUACAACUGUCGUUCUUCUAUUUUUAAAUUCAAAAUCCCUAGAUAUUUCCAUUACUCGUUACAGCUCAUGUCAUCAUUAAGUGGCUAAAGAAAGAUUUACUUAGUAUAUGGUAUAAUCUAGGCGCUGUGUGAGCUAUUGGUAAAGCAAAGUAGACCAGAAGAAAGCCCCAUUUCAGGGGAUCUAAAGAGAACAUAGUGAAAAGUAUAAGUAAAUACCAUAUGAUUGGUGGCAUUCUGGGAAGCAGUAUGCAGUGACCAACUACCUCCCCAAGAGAAGCUAAAAAAGGCCUCACAAAGGAAGUAACACAUGAGCUGGGAUUCUCCAAAUUCUAAGGGAAGAAAAACCAUUUGAGUUAGUGAAAAACACUUUACAAAGGUGUGAAACUACAAAUAUGGCCUAUUAGGUAAAAAGCAGGAUUUUAAACAGAAGCCAGAGUUUGCAGUGCCCCAGAAGAGAAAAAAAAAACUAAGGCUCACCACACAAAGUGACUGCAGACUGAAAGGGUCUGAAACGCCAUGCUUGGGAAAUGGGGCUCGCCCACAGGUGAUGGGAAGGUGUUAGAGAAGCAGUGGGCAGAGCCGGAAAAGCAGAGACAGAGAGACAUGGGUUUGAUUCUUCCUUGUGACACUUAUGGGGUAGCUGGAUUUUAGUAGAGUGCAUAACAUCCCAAACACAGUUUCCUGUAAAACACAGGCAGCAUAUUUCUUGUUGUAAAAGAAUGCAUUCUAUCCAUCUAUAUGAAACGUCUCUCACAAACAACUGCUGAACACACGCUGGUUCCUUUCACAACUGAGAAUUAUAACCUCUGUAGAACAUGGUUUCCCUUUAACUGAAAGGGAGAAAUCCUACAAGAAUGGGAUCAGUUAAGAGGGAGUUCCCAUUGUGGCUCAUUGGGUUACGAACCCAACUAGUAUCCAUGAGGACUCAAGUUCAAUCCCUGGCCUUGCUUAAUGGGUUAAGGAUCUGGUGUUGCCGUGAGCUGCUGUGUAGGUUGCAGAUGUGGCUUGGAUUGGGCGCUGCAGUGCCUGUGGUGUAGGCUGGCAGCUGAAGCUCCGAUUCAACCCUUAGCCUGGGAACUUCCAUAUACCACAAGUGUGGCCCUAAAAAUCAAAAAAAGAAAAAAGCUCUGAGAAUUGUUCUGCCUAUUAGAAGUCAAAGGCUCAGUCAUAUACAUUUUCCACACAAAGGAUAGUACAUCAAAACGAUACACUGACAUUUUAUAUAAAAUUCACCAAGGAUACAUAGUUCACGUGAACAUGCAUAAAGGAAGCAGCAAGUCACCGUGACCCCAUAAAGAGUUGAGAAAUAAAGCUAUUCUUCUAAGAAGUUAUAUUGUUAGCAUCAGAAGGGAAAAAAUAGAUCCUUACAGUCAAGCAGGCUCUCUUUGAGGAGCUCUGGUUAAUGCGUAAUGCAGAUGCACACUGCACCUGAGGCCCAAACAAACAGAGAAUUUUAAUGUCUAAUUUUUCUUGU
Molecule: long non-coding RNA, 2472 nt
Filed under: Sus scrofa (pig)
Lineage: Eukaryota; Metazoa; Chordata; Mammalia; Artiodactyla; Suidae
Description: lncRNA (ENSSSCG00015018683.1)
Source: RNAcentral